Molecule: transfer RNA, 72 nt
Filed under: Camelus bactrianus (Bactrian camel)
Lineage: Eukaryota; Metazoa; Chordata; Mammalia; Artiodactyla; Camelidae
Also listed under: 1 other name
Rfam family: tRNA
About the family: Transfer RNA (tRNA) molecules are approximately 80 nucleotides in length. Their secondary structure includes four short double-helical elements and three loops (D, anti-codon, and T loops).
Source: Rfam by way of RNAcentral
GAGGGUAUAGCUCAAGCGGUGAGUACAUGCUUAGCAUGCAAGAGGUCAUGGGUUCAAUCCCCAGUACCUCUU